UAGGGAAUCUUCUGCAAUGGACGAAAGUCUGACCGAGCAACGCCGCGUGAGUGAAGAAGGUUUUCGGAUCGUAAAACUCUGUUGUUAGAGAAGAACAAGGACGUUAGUAACUGAACGUCCCCUGACGGUAUCUAACCAGAAAGCCACGGCUAACUACGUGCCAGCAGCCGCGGUAAUACGUAGGUGGCAAGCGUUGUCCGGAUUUAUUGGGCGUAAAGCGAGCGCAGGCGGUUUCUUAAGUCUGAUGUGAAAGCCCCCGGCUCAACCGGGGAGGGUCAUUGGAAACUGAGAGACUUGAGUGCAGAAGAGGAGAGUGGAAUUCCAUGUGUAGCGGUGAAAUGCGUAGAUAUAUGGAGGAACACCAGUGGCGAAGGCGGCUCUCUGGUCUGUAACUGACGCUGAGGCUCGAAAGCGUGGGGAGCAAACAGG
RNAcentral lists this ribosomal RNA (429 nucleotides) under Gemmatimonadota bacterium. RNAcentral describes it as "Gemmatimonadetes bacterium partial 16S ribosomal RNA". It matches the Rfam family "Bacterial small subunit ribosomal RNA", at positions 355 to 776 of the family's 1533-position model. Lineage: Bacteria; Pseudomonadati; Gemmatimonadota. The record is from RNAcentral.